CUGGGUCUAUAGCCGACCCAUUAAAAAAUCAGCACCUCAGUCUCCGUACUAACUUUUCAGAAAGUAUGGCACGUGUUUGCCUGAGAGUGACUAACUAUUCAGAUUUAUUGAGUACAAACCUUAUAAAAUUGUUCUCCGACACUAAGAGUAAGGAUUUUCGAGUGAUAUGCCACGGGCAGAUGUUCCUGAUGCACAAAUUCUUGCUCCGGAUCUUUUCUGAUGACCCUUUGGUGUGCCAAAAAGAGGAUGUGGAAAUGCGGAUUGAUGAUAUCCAGCCUAGAAUUGUGCAGCAAUUCCUGUCAAUUCUUUACUUCGGCGAGACGCAAGUUGAGCACUCUGACUUGAAGUCGAUGCGAUUGUGUGCACAACUCAUGGGAAUGUCAAAUCUACUUCGAGAGCUGAAACUCUACAUUAUUGAUGAUAAGGUCGUCAAAAAAAUGGUUGCAAAUCGUAUGGAUGGCCAAUCCAAACAAAAAUCGAAGGAAUCUCUUGCCCAGAUGUUGGUUCCCAAAGAAAGCUGCUUUUCCACCGUCUGGCUUCCAGACUCUCAUGAUGAACCUGAUCUGAAAACUCAAAAGAUCCCGAAGUUGAAUAGUAUUCACCCAUACUGUUUCACAACAUGUGAACCCAGGGAUUCUAAUAUACGCUCAAAUCCUUUUGAAAGGCCUCUUACAAGUAUGAAAAAAUCUGUUCUGUGGGAUGCAGAUAACUCUAUGAAUCCAUUUGGGAACAUUUCAACUGCUUGCUAUUUAUGUGGCGAGGACUUCCAUUGUAGAGAAGAAUUGAUCCGUCAUUCCCGGUUCUAUCACCUUGGUUGAAAUAUGUUUUAACCGGUUUACCGUUGUUCUUGUAAUUCUAUUGAAUGUAGGAUUAAAUGAAGACGAAGUAAAUGGAUAAUCUUUUUU
Molecule: long non-coding RNA, 905 nt
Organism: Tigriopus californicus
Lineage: Eukaryota; Metazoa; Arthropoda; Copepoda; Harpacticoida; Harpacticidae
Exons: 2
Source: RefSeq, a predicted model, not a curated record